UGGGGAAUAUUGGACAAUGGGGGCAACCCUGAUCCAGCAAUGCCGCGUGUGUGAAGAAGGUCUUCGGAUUGUAAAGCACUUUCGACGGGGACGAUGAUGACGGUACCCGUAGAAGAAGCCCCGGCUAACUUCGUGCCAGCAGCCGCGGUAAUACGAAGGGGGCUAGCGUUGCUCGGAAUGACUGGGCGUAAAGGGCGUGUAGGCGGUUUACACAGUCAGAUGUGAAAUCCCGGGGCUUAACCUGGGAGCUGCAUUUGAUACGUGUAGACUAGAGUGUGAGAGAGGGUUGUGGAAUUCCCAGUGUAGAGGUGAAAUUCGUAGAUAUUGGGAAGAACACCGGUGGCGAAGGCGGCAACCUGGCUCAUGACUGACGCUGAGGCGCGAAAGCGUGGGGAGCAAACAGGAUUAGAUACCCUGGUAGUCCACGCUGUAAACGAUGUGUGCUAGAUGUUGGGUAACUUUGUUAUUCAGUGUCGCAGUUAACGCGUUAAGCACACCGCCUGGGGAGUACGGGCCGCAAG
RNAcentral lists this ribosomal RNA (521 nucleotides) under uncultured bacterium. RNAcentral's name for it is "partial 16S ribosomal RNA". It matches the Rfam family "Bacterial small subunit ribosomal RNA", at positions 355 to 892 of the family's 1533-position model. The record is from RNAcentral.